GUGGGGAAUUUUGGACAAUGGGCGCAAGCCUGAUCCAGCAAUGCCGCGUGCAGGAAGAAGGCCUUCGGGUUGUAAACUGCUUUUGUCAGGGAAGAAAUCUUCUGGGCUAAUACCCCGGGAGGAUGACGGUACCUGAAGAAUAAGCACCGGCUAACUACGUGCCAGCAGCCGCGGUAAUACGUAGGGUGCGAGCGUUAAUCGGAAUUACUGGGCGUAAAGCGUGCGCAGGCGGCUUUGCAAGACAGAUGUGAAAUCCCCGGGCUCAACCUGGGAACUGCAUUUGUGACUGCAAGGCUAGAGUACGGCAGAGGGGGAUGGAAUUCCGCGUGUAGCAGUGAAAUGCGUAGAUAUGCGGAGGAACACCAAUGGCGAAGGCAAUCCCCUGGGCCUGUACUGACGCUCAUGCACGAAAGCGUGGGGAGCAAACAGGAUUAGAAACCCCAGUAGUCC
This 450-nucleotide ribosomal RNA is filed under the name uncultured bacterium. RNAcentral's name for it is "partial 16S ribosomal RNA". It matches the Rfam family "Bacterial small subunit ribosomal RNA", at positions 354 to 796 of the family's 1533-position model. The record is from RNAcentral.